UACGUAGGGUGCAAGCGUUGUCCGGAAUUAUUGGGCGUAAAGAGCUCGUAGGCGGUCUGUCGCGUCUGCUGUGAAAACUCGGGGGCUUAACCCCGGGCCUGCAGUGGGUACGGGCAGACUAGAGUGCGGUAGGGGAGACUGGAAUUCCUGGUGUAGCGGUGAAAUGCGCAGAUAUCAGGGAGGGAACACCGGUGGGCGAAGGCGGGUCUCUGGGCAGUAACUGACGCUGGAGGAGCGAAAAGCGUGGGGGAGCGAACAGG
RNAcentral lists this ribosomal RNA (260 nucleotides) under uncultured bacterium. RNAcentral's name for it is "partial 16S ribosomal RNA". It matches the Rfam family "Bacterial small subunit ribosomal RNA", at positions 524 to 776 of the family's 1533-position model. The record is from RNAcentral.